Molecule: ribosomal RNA, 461 nt
Filed under: uncultured Sphingobacteriales bacterium
Lineage: Bacteria; Pseudomonadati; Bacteroidota; Sphingobacteriia; Sphingobacteriales
Description: bacterial SSU rRNA
Rfam family: Bacterial small subunit ribosomal RNA
Source: RNAcentral
CCUACGGGAGGCUGCAGUAAGGAAUAUUGGACAAUGGCCGGAAGACUGAUCCAGCCAUGCCGCGUGAAGGACGAAGGCGCUCAGCGUUGUAAACUUCUUUUGGAUGGGGAUAAUAACCUCGAUUUAUCGGGGCUUGAAGGUACCAUCAGAAUAAGCACCGGCUAACUCCGUGCCAGCAGCCGCGGUAAUACGGAGGGUGCGAGCGUUAUCCGGAAUCACUGGGUUUAAAGGGUGCGUAGGCGGCGAGGUAAGUCAGUUGUGAAAUUCCCCGGCUCAACCGGUGGGACUGCGAUUGAUACUGCUUUGCUUGAAACAGGUUGAGGUAAGCGGAAUGUGACAUGUAGCGGUGAAAUGCAUAGAUAUGUCAUAGAACACCGAUUGCGAAGGCAGCUUGCUGGGCCUUGUUUGACGCUGAGGCACGAAAGCGUGGGGAGCAAACAGGAUUAGAUACCCCUGUAGUC